GUGUGUGCGCUCGUGUACGUGUGCGUUUUGGUAGGCGAGGCAGGAAGUGAAUAAGAGCAGUUGGUCUCUGAGUCAGAAAGAUUACACACACAAACACACACACACACACACACACACACACACACACACACACACACACACACACACACACACACACACACACACACACACACACACACACACACACACACACACACACACACACUACUUAUCUUAUCGUAGGCCCUACAGGGUGACAGCCUUGGACUGUAACUAAAAUAAACGCAAAAGACUCAAAUCAAAAGGCUGUGCACAGGGACUUCGUUCUUUUUAGUAAAUUAAACGCGUUUGUCCAAAAAGCUGGCCAGACUUCUAUUUUUACACCAAGUCUUAGUAAGACCUCUUUAUAAUUAUUUCUAGUCAUUAAAGGGCUCUGCUACAAGCUGUGCGAGAGUAUUUUAAGUGAAACCAAUAAAAAAUAAUUUUGAUUAGCUUUGUACUUUCCCCAAGCGUUAAUUCACUGAGGGGGCCGACCCAACGAGGAACAGAGCAUUCUCCCCUGGUUUGGGUUUGUGAAGGUUUAUGUUAUUUUUCAGACUUUCAGAACAUAUAUAGCCGAAUCCAUCAACAUUUCAUAUUGUGAUAUAUUAGAUAGGAGGUGAUAGGACAGAGCAACAGAGAAUUGACCUCAUGUAUCUGCCUAAUUAUUCUGUUGUUGUCUUUAUGUCUGUCAAGCUGGGGCUGUCAUGUAAGGUCCAACUUCCUGUAAUGACUAGAAACUUCCUGCAUAAUUUAAUAUUUAAAUAAUUUUUAGAUUUAACCAUUAAUUGUUAUAAUAGUGAGUAACUGUGAUUUAAUGUAUUAACUCAUCACCCUGAAGCUGUGGAAACCCUGAAACUUCCCCUUGGGGAUGUGGUAUCUUAGGUAGGGUGGUAGGUGACCUAGGUAGGGCGGUAGGGGACCUAGGUAGGGUGGUAGGUGACCUAGGUAGGGUCAGUGUUUCCCACACAUUGACGAGACUAUGGCGCCCCGCCAUAGUCUAAUUUCGGCCGCCAUAGUCUCUGCGUGCACAUGAAUUAUUAUUAUUAUUAUUAUUAUUAUUUAUUAUUAUUUUUUUUUUUUUGCUCAGACGAAGUUCGUGUCGCUCUCAUUGGGA
This is a long non-coding RNA of Gadus macrocephalus (Pacific cod), 1135 nucleotides long. RefSeq lists it as uncharacterized. NCBI's taxonomy places the organism in Eukaryota, Metazoa, Chordata, Actinopteri, Gadiformes, Gadidae. The record is from RefSeq and is a predicted model, not a curated record. The transcript has 2 exons.